UGCAUAUCAAAAAGCGGAGGAAAAGAAACCAACUGGGAUUGCCUUAGUAACGGCGAGUGAAGCGGCAAAAGCUCAAAUUUGAAAUCUGGUACCUUUGGUGCCCGAGUUGUAAUUUGUAGAGUACCACUUUGGGACUAUACUUUGCCUAUGUUCCUUGGAACAGGACGUCAUGGAGGGUGAGAAUCCCGUGUGGCGAGGGUGUUAGUUCUUUGUAAAGGGUGCUCGAAGAGUCGAGUUGUUUGGGAAUGCAGCUCUAAGUGGGUGGUAAAUUCCAUCUAAAGCUAAAUACAGGCGAGAGACCGAUAGCGAACAAGUACAGUGAUGGAAAGAUGAAAAGAACUUUGAAAAGAGAGUGAAAAAGUACGUGAAAUUGUUGAAAGGGAAGGGCAUUUGAUCAGACAUGGUGUUUUGCGCCCCUCGCUCCUUGUGGGUGGGGGACUCUCGCAGCUCACUGGGCCAGCAUCAGUUUUUGCGGCAGGACAAAACCUUGGGAAUGUAGCUGUGCGCCUCGGUGUACAGUGUUAUAGCUCUUGGGAAUACUGCCAGCGGGGACUGAGGACUGCGAUACUUGUUAUCUAGGAUGCUGGCAUAAUGGUUAUAUGCCGCCCGUCUUGAACAACGGGACC
This 626-nucleotide ribosomal RNA is filed under the name Nakaseomyces nivariensis. RNAcentral describes it as "eukaryotic LSU rRNA". It matches the Rfam family "Eukaryotic large subunit ribosomal RNA", at positions 37 to 664 of the family's 3401-position model. The record is from RNAcentral. Lineage: Eukaryota; Fungi; Ascomycota; Saccharomycetes; Saccharomycetales; Saccharomycetaceae.